UUAACUCAUAUUUGUAUGGAAUGGGAUCGUUUGCGUACGUUUGCGGCUAGGGGCGCUGUUCCAAUUGCAUACAAAAUUGGCUA
RNAcentral lists this microRNA precursor (83 nucleotides) under Bombyx mori (domestic silkworm). RNAcentral's name for it is "mir-2807 microRNA precursor family". It matches the Rfam family "mir-2807 microRNA precursor family". Lineage: Eukaryota; Metazoa; Arthropoda; Insecta; Lepidoptera; Bombycidae. The record is from Rfam by way of RNAcentral.